This 251-nucleotide ribosomal RNA is filed under the name uncultured prokaryote. RNAcentral's name for it is "partial 16S rRNA". It matches the Rfam family "Bacterial small subunit ribosomal RNA", at positions 525 to 775 of the family's 1533-position model. The record is from RNAcentral.
ACGAAGGGGGCUAGCGUUGUUCGGAAUUACUGGGCGUAAAGGGCGCGUAGGCGGCUUGAUAAGUUGGAUGUGAAAUCCCAAGGCUUAACUUUGGAACUGCAUUCAAGACUAUCUUGCUCGAAUUCGGUAGAGGUUGGUGGAAUUCCCAGUGUAGAGGUGAAAUUCGUAGAGAUUGGGAAGAAUAUCCGUGGCGAAGGCGGCCAACUGGACCGACAUUGACGCUGAGGCGCGAAAGCGUGGGUAGCAAACAG